CCGCUGGCGGCGUGCUUAACACAUGCAAGUCGCACGAGAACGUUUCAGCUUGCUGAAGCUAGUAAAGUGGCGCACGGGUGAGUAACGCGUGGGUAAUCUACCUCCGAAUUGGGGAUAACAUCGCGAAAGCGAUGCUAAUACCGAAUAAUAUCUCUAAGGCUUCGGUUUUUGAGAUCAAAGGUGGCCUCUACAUGUAAGCUUCUGUUUGGAGAUGAGCCCGCGUACCAUUAGCUUGUUGGUAGGGUAAUGGCCUACCAAGGCGACGAUGGUUAGCUGGUCUGAGAGGAUGAUCAGCCACACUGGAACUGACACACGGUCCAGACUCCUACGGGAGGCAGCAGUGAGGAAUUUUGCGCAAUGGGGGAAACCCUGACGCAGCAACGCCGCGUGAGUGAUGAAGGCUUUCGGGUCGUAAAGCUCUGUCAAGUGGGAAGAACCCACAUGGUGAUAAUACCACUAUGUGCUGACGGUACCACUAAAGGAAGCACCGGCUAACUCCGUGCCAGCAGCCGCGGUAAU
Molecule: ribosomal RNA, 519 nt
Filed under: uncultured bacterium
Lineage: Bacteria
Description: bacterial SSU rRNA
Rfam family: Bacterial small subunit ribosomal RNA
Source: RNAcentral